CUAAAGCCUGGGAACAGUGACCGGGCUGAGGGAUGGGGCAGGCUGGCCCUGGGAGGCCGAGGGGUCCAGGGGUUCCAUGCACUGCAGGUCACCCUGCUGCAUGGAUAGAUGGUGAAUUUAUAUUAUGAACUAAUCAUCAUGAGAACCCCAUAAGGAAGACCAUAUGGUUAUCCCCCUUGCACAGAUAUAUUGAGUCACUUACCCAAGAUCACACAGCUAAUUAACACCAGCGCCUAAUUCAAACUCAGGCAGCCUAGUUCUGAGGCAGCGCUAUUCAAUCAAUAUGCACUUAGGGAACAGGCGGCCAGGAAGUGCAGGUGGGCCCCACCCUUACCCCUGCUCUGUGCUGAGGCCGCUGCCGAGCUGUCUAUUCAGAGUCAGCUCCUCUGGUGCUGGAAGAUGCUGGCACUCAGUGCUCCAUCGCCUCUCAGUGAGCUGAUCAUGACAGGAGAAUGACAGAAAAUGACCAGGUGUUGCCACCCACCACUGUGAGGCUGGUGGUCCCUGUCCCUUAGAGAGGGCGAGCUGGGCUCAUGGGGAUGCAGAGGCAGCUGCCCUUUCCCACUGGGUGACCCUGGUGGAAAUCUGGGAGCUGAGGGUGUGGACUGCCUGCAGGGAGGCCUCACCUAAUACCUCUAAUAAAAGCACCCCUCGUGUGCCGGGCACUGACCUGGAAGUUGGAGUGACUCACUUGAGGCACCAGAAAUGCUCGCUGCAGUGCAGAUGUUAGGACCUGGGUUCAGAAAGCAGAUCCCUAAAUGAGCCUCUGGGGUCCACGGCUUCUGGUCCACGUGCCCACGGCUUGGUGAGGUCUGGGAGGUCUCCCUGAGGGAGGCAGGACUUGAGUGGGACCGUGAAGGGCAGAAAUAACCUGAAAAGUGGGGACAAGGCAGAGGAUAGAGAAAUGGAGGGAGGGAAGGCCUCCCAGGGCACAGUCCUUCUCGGAGGCCCCGAGACAUGCCUUCUCCCCAGUUACCCUCCAAUAAAGGGAAUGCAGCACCACAAGAAGACUCAGUGGCACCAUCCCUGGCUGCAGAGGGGCCACCCAGCUGCUCACGGUGUCCUCACUCCAUUCUCAUUCUUUGCCUAAUGCUGAUGUCUCGCAUGGAAUAUUUUUCUUAUCUACUUUGAUAAGACAUGGAGGUCAGAAGAAAAUAGUUCUCAAACCAGAGUUGGCCUAAAACACUACACAGGCUGUAAACCACAGAUUUCCUUCUGCAUACCAUCCCUGCUUCCUCUUCCCAUCACUAACAGUGAACAAGUCCAAGAGGGGAUUAAGAAAACAAUUCUAUUUACAACAGCAUCAAAAAGAAUAAACAUUUGGAAAUAAAAUUCACCAGCAAGGAGAAAGACUUGGACACCAAAACAUUAAAAAAAUACCGGCCGGGCGCGGUGGCUCACGCCUGUAAUCCCAGCACUUUGGGAGGCCGAGGUGGGCAGAUCACAAGGUCAGGAGAUCGAGACCACGGUGAAGCCCCGUCUCUACUAAAAAUCCAAAAAAAUUAGCUGGGCGCGGUGGCGGGCGCCUGUAGUCCCAGCUACUCGGGAGGCUGAGGCCAGAGAAUGGCGUGAACCCGGGAGGCGGAGCUUGCAGUGAGCCGAGAUAAAGAAAUUAAAAGAUUUCCUUUGUUCAUGAAUUGGAAGACUUAAUAUUGAUAAUGUGUCAAAACUAACAAGAGUGAUCUACAGAUGCAAUGCAAUCUCUAUCAAAAUCCCAAAGGGAUUUGCUGCAGAAAUAGCAGGAUUCAUCCUAAAAAUUAAAAAAUGUCAAAGGACACGAAUAGACAUUUCUACAAAGAAGAUAUACAAAGGGUCAAUAAGCACAUGAAAAGAUGUUCAGCAUCACUAAUCAUUAGGGAAAAGCAAAUCAAAACCACACUGAGAUACCGCCUCACAUCCAUUAGGAUGGCUACUAUUAGACAAACAAACAAAACCCAGGAGUCAUAAGUGUUAAUGAGCAUGUAUGGAAAUUGGAACCCUUGAGCACCAUUGGUAGAACUGUAAAAUGGUGAAGCCACUACGGGAAAUAAUAUGGUGGUUCUUAAAAAAAUAAAAUAAAAUUAGAAUAAAAGGAAAAGUAGAAUUGCCAUUUAAUCUAGCAAUUCCACUUCUGGGUGUAUAACCAAAAGAAUUGAAAUUAGUGUCUCAAAGAGACAUUGGUAACCCCAUGUUCCUAGCAGCACCAUUCAGAUCCCAGGUCCUGUAAAUUCUUUCCCACUGGGGAAAGAAUUUGUCCUACAGGAAGGCUGAGGAAAGGCUCUGCUGAGUCUAUCUUCGCUUUGUUUUUUGCAAGAAAAGUUUUCCUUUUGUGAAAACUUAUCAUACAGAUUGGGCCAUUCUUGUCACACCCAACUAAAACACAGUCAAGAAUCCAGUGGGGAUAGCACCCAGAGCACAAUACAUUGCUCCAAAAAUGUAAUUAUCUGUAGGCCUAGCAGCUGAAACUGCCUGCAGUAGCCUGAAACCAGUUUUAUCUAAGACUCCUGAAAUGACCUGCUGCAACUCUCAGACUAGCUUUGCCCAUGGCUGUCACUUCCCAAUCAGAGCUUGCCAGCUACUCAGAACCUUACUAGUGCUGGUGAAAUUUCUCAAAGAGCAAUGCAUAACAUUUCUUCUUUCUAUAAAACCUCUGACCUUCUAUUUGUUCUUCAGAGAGAGCACUUUUGAUUCACGCUGGAAACUCUCUCCAUCAGUUUGGU
This 2699-nucleotide long non-coding RNA is filed under the name Homo sapiens (human). RNAcentral's name for it is "non-protein coding lnc-SSTR4-12:1". The record is from RNAcentral. Lineage: Eukaryota; Metazoa; Chordata; Mammalia; Primates; Hominidae.